RNAcentral lists this ribosomal RNA (156 nucleotides) under uncultured Apatococcus. RNAcentral describes it as "5.8S ribosomal RNA". It matches the Rfam family "5.8S ribosomal RNA". Rfam says of the family: 5.8S ribosomal RNA (5.8S rRNA) is a component of the large subunit of the eukaryotic ribosome. Lineage: Eukaryota; Viridiplantae; Chlorophyta; Trebouxiophyceae. The record is from RNAcentral.
CAACUCUCAACAACGGAUAUCUUGGCUCCCGUAACGAUGAAGAACGCAGCGAAGUGCGAUAAGUAGUGUGAAUUGCAGAUUUCCGUGAACCAUCGAGUUUUUGAGCGCAAAUUGCGCUCGAGGCCUCCGGGUCGAGAGCAUGUCUGCCUCAGCGUC